RNAcentral lists this ribosomal RNA (468 nucleotides) under uncultured bacterium. RNAcentral describes it as "partial 16S ribosomal RNA". It matches the Rfam family "Bacterial small subunit ribosomal RNA", at positions 28 to 507 of the family's 1533-position model. The record is from RNAcentral.
GACGAACGCUGGCGGCGUGCUUAACACAUGCAAGUCGAACGGAAAGGCCCUGCUUUUGUGGGGUGCUCGAGUGGCGAACGGGUGAGUAACACGUGAGUAACCUGCCCUUGACUUUGGGAUAACUUCAGGAAACUGGGGCUAAUACCGGAUAGGAGCUCCUGCUGCAUGGUGGGGGUUGGAAAGUUUCGGCGGUUGGGGAUGGACUCGCGGCUUAUCAGCUUGUUGGUGGGGUAGUGGCUUACCAAGGCUUUGACGGGUAGCCGGCCUGAGAGGGUGACCGGCCACAUUGGGACUGAGAUGCGGCCCAGACUCCUACGGGAGGCAGCAGUGGGGAAUAUUGCACAAUGGGCGGAAGGCUGAUGCAGCAACGCCGCGUGCGGGAUGACGGCCUUCGGGUUGUAAACCGCUUUCGCCUGUGACGAAGCGUGAGUGACGGUAAUGGGUAAAGAAGCACCGGCUAACUACGUG